Molecule: ribosomal RNA, 253 nt
Filed under: uncultured bacterium
Lineage: Bacteria
Description: partial 16S ribosomal RNA
Rfam family: Bacterial small subunit ribosomal RNA
Source: RNAcentral
GACGGAGGGUGCAAGCGUUGUUCGGAAUUACUGGGCGUAAAGGGCGCGUAGGCGGUGUGUCAAGUCAGGCGUGAAAGCCCCGGGCUCAACCUGGGAACCGCGCUUGAGACUGGCACGCUCGAGUUCGGGAGAGGAUGGUGGAAUUCCCAGUGUAGAGGUGAAAUUCGUAGAUAUUGGGAAGAACACCGAUGGCGAAGGCAGCCAUCUGGACCGACACUGACGCUGAGGCGCGAAAGCGUGGGGAGCAAACAGG